GAUGAACGCUGGCGGCGUGCCUAAUACAUGCAAGUCGAGCGAACGGACGAGAAGCUUGCUUCUCUGAUGUUAGCGGCGGACGGGUGAGUAACACGUGGAUAACCUACCUAUAAGACUGGGAUAACUUCGGGAAACCGGAGCUAAUACCGGAUAAUAUUUUGAACCGCAUGGUUCAAAAGUGAAAGACGGUCUUGCUGUUACUUAUAGAUGGAUCCGCGCUGCAUUAGCUAGUUGGUAAGGUAACGGCUUACCGAGGCAACGAUGCAUAGCCGACCUGAGAGGGUGAUCGGCCACACUGGAACUGAGACACGGUCCAGACUCCUACGGGAGGCAGCAGUAGGGAAUCUUCCGCAAUGGGCGAAAGCCUGACGGAGCAACGCCGCGUGAGUGAUGAAGGUCUUCGGAUCGUAAAACUCUGUUAUUAGGGAAGAACAUAUGUGUAAGUAACUGUGCACAUCUUGACGGUACCUAAUCAGAAAGCCACGGCUAACUACGUG
This 497-nucleotide ribosomal RNA is filed under the name uncultured bacterium. RNAcentral describes it as "partial 16S ribosomal RNA". It matches the Rfam family "Bacterial small subunit ribosomal RNA", at positions 28 to 507 of the family's 1533-position model. The record is from RNAcentral.